GUAUCGGGUAUCGGUAUCGGGUAUCGGUAUUGGGUAUCGGUAUCGGGUAUCGGUGCAUCUCUACUAACUUUUCUCAUUAUCUGAGUUAAACAUUAAAAACACGUUUCUCCUCUUUAAGAGUGAUAAAUAAGUUAAUUGUCUUGACAACUGAAUGGAAACACGACGAGUGACACAGAACAUUAGACGUCUUCACCUCCGUCACCGACAUGGAUUCUAAGCUGAUCUAUUUGCGUCACCUUCUUCCCUUAAACCCUUUAAAGCCAUAAAACGUCACCGCUGAUGAUCAGAGGACUUUGUGCCGUUGAGCAAAGCGUGGAACGUCCCGUCUGCUGCAGAAUGUAAAACUCUCUCUGCCUCCUUCCAGGAGCAUUAAAGGUCAAACCUGAGUGGGGAUGUCCGUCACGCUGUCGCCUCCUGCAGGUGAAUCCCAGCAGCUGCAGGUAGAACUCUAACAACACCUUCCAGCUGCUGGUUUCUUCCUCAGAGCGUCCUCAGAGUGUCUCUGAACCUUUUGUUCUUUAAAAACUGGACUGUUGUUUUCUGUGUUGUCUCUCUUUAGUUCUUUAGUGUGGUUUUAUUUUGAAAGUCUGUUUGUUCUCACCUCCUUCCUGUCGUUGGCUCUCAGGUGAAUCUUCUGGCUUCAGUUUCUCUGCACGGAAACACACGAAUAACACAUUUAGUCAAAGUGAGAUUAAAGUAGUGAAUCUAUUUAUAUUAAAGAUUACAUUUUAACCUUAAUAUCAACGAGUAUCUAUUCCUGUCAGUCCAGCUGAGCAAUGUUCAGGUUGAAGGUUCAUUUAAAGAUUAGCUGAAUGAUUUUAGUUUAGUUUAGUUCCAGAGUCCAACGUGCUGAAACAGAGAAACGUACUGCAGACACUCACACAACCUUUAAACGAUGAAACUAACAACUACAAAGGUUUCUUUUGGUUCUGAAACAUCUGGAAUCUGCAGCCCGUUGAGCUCUUUGUUCACAUGUUGCUGCUGAAGAAGCUUCACAUUCACAAACCUGAAUCUGAAACGUGGACCGGGCUGCAGAGAACGCUGACUGCUUUCUGCUUUUAUUGAUCCUUUGGGGGCAGAUUUGAAUUCUAAAGAACCAAACUGAGCCGUGAAAUCUGAUUGGCUGAUUGGUUGAUCUUCUCUUUGCAGUUAGUCUCUACCUUUAGUUGUGAAUGUUUCUCAUAUAAACGACUGUACAGAUCAAUAAUCAAUAAUCAAUAUGUAAACUGAUGAUAUUUUACAAAUUAAACAACUGAUGCAGAACCUGAAGAAACUCUGUGAUGGUUUCAUUUGGUCUGAUGUUUGUGAUCUCUGCCGAGUCGGACUCAGAGACGAGGAGCUGAAGAUGAAGGUUUCAGCCAGCGGAGGGCGCCGUCGUCGUUUCUCUUUGACUUCAACACCUGAUGAGAGUUAAUCUGACCUGAGACACUUGACGAGAGUUAAUCUGACCUGAGACACCUGACGAGAGUUAAUCUGACCUGAGACACCUGACGAGAGUUAAUCUGACCUGAGACACCUGACGAGAGUUAAUCUGACCUGAGACACCUGACGAGAGUUAAUCUGACCUGAGACACCUGACGAGAGUUAAUCUGACCUGAGACACCUGACGAGAGUUAAUCUGACCUGAGACACCUGAUGAGAGUUAAUCUGACCUGAGACACCUGAUGAGAGUUAAUCUGACC
Molecule: long non-coding RNA, 1682 nt
Organism: Sebastes umbrosus (honeycomb rockfish)
Lineage: Eukaryota; Metazoa; Chordata; Actinopteri; Perciformes; Sebastidae
Exons: 2
Source: RefSeq, a predicted model, not a curated record